Molecule: unclassified non-coding RNA, 229 nt
Filed under: plant metagenome
Description: partial contains small subunit ribosomal RNA, internal transcribed spacer 1, and 5.8S ribosomal RNA
Source: RNAcentral
UCUCCGUAGGUGAACCUGCGGAGGGAUCAUUACAGAGUUUUUGCCCGCAAGGGUAGAUCUCCCACCCUAUGUUAUUCCUUCUCUGUUGCUUUGGCGGGCCGUCCGGCCUCGGUCAGGCCACCGGCUCCGGCUGGUGCGCGCCCGCCAGAGGACCCCAAACCCUAAAUGUCAGUGUCGUCUGAGUACUAUAUAAUAGUUAAAACUUUCAACAACGGAUCUCUUGGUCCUG